RNAcentral lists this ribosomal RNA (449 nucleotides) under uncultured bacterium. RNAcentral's name for it is "partial 16S ribosomal RNA". It matches the Rfam family "Bacterial small subunit ribosomal RNA", at positions 29 to 523 of the family's 1533-position model. The record is from RNAcentral.
AACGAAAGCUGGCGGCAUGCCUAACACAUGCAAGUAGAACGAAGCCUUCGGGCUCAGUGGCGCACGGGUGCGUAACGCGUGGACAUCUGCCCUUGGGUUCGGAAUAACAGUUAGAACUGACUGCUAAUACCGGUUGAUGCCCUAAGUCCAAAGAUUUAUCGCCCAAGGAUGAGCCCGCGUAGGAUGAGGUAGUUGGUGGGUUACAGGCUCACCAAGCCGACGAUCCUUAGCUGGUCUGAGAGGAUGAUCAGCCACACUGGGCCUGGGACACGGCCCAGACUCCUACGAGAGGCAGCAGUGGGGAAUAUUGGACAAUGGGCAAAAGCCUGAUCCAGCAAUGCCGCGUGAGUAAUGAAGGCCUUAGGGUUGUAAAGCUCUGUUACCCGGGAUGAUAAUGACAGUACCGGGAGAAUAAGCUCCGGCUAACUCCGCGCCAGCAGCCGCAGUAA